GAUGAACGCUGGCGGCGUGCCUAAUACAUGCAAGUCGAGCGAACAGACGAGGAGCUUGCUCCUCUGACGUUAGCGGCGGACGGGUGAGUAACACGUGGAUAACCUACCUAUAAGACUGGGAUAACUUCGGGAAACCGGAGCUAAUACCGGAUAAUAUAUUGAACCGCAUGGUUCAAUAGUGAAAGACGGUUUUGCUGUCACUUAUAGAUGGAUCCGCGCCGCAUUAGCUAGUUGGUAAGGUAACGGCUUACCAAGGCAACGAUGCGUAGCCGACCUGAGAGGGUGAUCGGCCACACUGGAACUGAGACACGGUCCAGGCUCCUACGGGAGGCAGCAGUAGGGAAUCUUCCGCAAGGGGCGAAAGCCUGACGGAGCAACGCCGCGUGAGUGAUGAAGGUCUUCGGAUCGUAAAACUCUGUUAUUAGGGAAGAACAAAUGUGUAAGUAACUAUGCACGUCUUGACGGUACCUAAUCAGAAAGCCACGGCUAACUACGUG
This 497-nucleotide ribosomal RNA is filed under the name uncultured bacterium. RNAcentral's name for it is "partial 16S ribosomal RNA". It matches the Rfam family "Bacterial small subunit ribosomal RNA", at positions 28 to 507 of the family's 1533-position model. The record is from RNAcentral.